Molecule: long non-coding RNA, 4026 nt
Filed under: Triticum aestivum (bread wheat)
Lineage: Eukaryota; Viridiplantae; Streptophyta; Magnoliopsida; Poales; Poaceae
Description: long non-coding RNA (TAES_LNC003430)
Source: RNAcentral
GCAAAUAAACUUUACAAAUAAUAUAAAUGGUUAAGAUGAUUUCAUAUACAAAUUAUAAAGCCAAAAAGCAGUAGAAGUUAACACAAUAGCUGGUAAGAGCCUGUAGGAGCAGCCUCGCCCUCAUAGAUGGAGACCUUACGCCACCAAGAACACAGACAUCACAUGUGCCUAUGGGAGCAGCCUCAUCGUCACAGUACUAAGCCCCAGUUCCUGGAUGGAUACGUGACAAAACCAAGGCAAUGUUAGUACUAUAUUUAACCAAACAGAAUAUAACAUUACAACGGCAAGAUGAGAAAAGUCUAAGAACUACUCUGUAACUCUUUUGCAUCCUCCUCUCAUCACUGUACUCAUGAUCCUUUCCGAUGCACCAGGAAUUUGAAGCGUCCGCUGCACCAGCAGUGCAUGGUUGAAAUAAGUUGAACACCAAACAUCUACGGAGAUUUUGACCGAAGCCUAUCCAGCCAGGGCUGCGCAGGGUUCAUGGGCGGGGCAACAUAUUUCCCAGGUUACAGCUUCUUUGGAUCACAGGAUCUGCAAAACAAAGGAAUAGGAAAAAUGGAGGAUUUGAUUGCCAUGCCAUAGCCAAUCCUAUGGAAUUUUUCCAGAGAUCGGACCUCAUGUGUAAAUUCCUCUGGAAUCAGCACCUUGGAGUCCCAAUCCUAAGGAAUUUUAAUGACCCAAUCCUGUGAUCCAAAUGCGUUUCAUAGGAAACAAUCCUGAGGAUUGAUAUCCCGUGAAAAUCCUAUAAAAAUCCUCCAAUCCAAAGAAGGCCUUAGUCGGCGAUAGGUCAGCCAAGCAGCAUGGGACCCAGCUCCAGGGCGGCGCACAGGAGGCUGGGCCGCUGGGGGCGAGGCGGUGGAAACAGAUAGGCAUCGAUGUGUCCAGGCAUGGACCGGGAGCACGGCAGCGGCAACACGACAAUCAGCACAAGGAAGAUGACACCGUGCGGACGUUCGGCUGCAUGAGAGUCCUUGUGUAGGCGUGAUUGCACUGUCGUGGCAUGGAACUUCCAAAGAGAUGGGAAUAUGGGAUUCGAGGCAGAGCGGUCUCGUCGUGGAGAUAGCCACCGGCGGCGUCGCUUAGUCAACGUAGAGGGCGACUUGGAGGCCUCCAGAAACCACCGUUGAGGGACUGAUCUGGGCGGCAACCCUAAUCACAGGGCCUCGCUGAUCUCGGCCUCGUCCGUUCGUCCCACCUAGCUAGUGCGCUCCUUCACCAGCGCAGCACGCUGCUCGCCGCUGCUGGCCUUGAUGGUCCUCUUUCCACUCCGACCGCAACCGGAUCCUCCCGACCUGAGCUGCAUCAUGCUUCAUGCCGCUAUCGUCCUCGGCAACAACCAUGCAGGCUCCGUUCGCGGGCUUCAGCCUCGGCGCCGGGCCGCGCGGUUCAGGGUGCCCGCCAUGCAGACCGCGUCUACCCCAACGCCCGGUCCGCAGGUGCAAGCAAUCGCGGGUGGCUUCUGGCCCUUCUUCCAGCUCUGGCUGCUGCUCGCCGUCCCAGCGCUCGACUCCACCAACACCCGAACAAAAAAGGAAAUAUAAUUGGGGACGAUGCGUGUGGGUAUGUAGGGGAAGGAAUCGUGAGGCGUCCGGAUUGACUUGGCGGUUUGGACUCUGGCUAGUUACCUGUGGGCUUCUAUUGGGCUUUUCUCUUUCAGUACCAGUUUCGCGUGCGUGUACGGUUUGGUUUGUGUGCUUGUAGAGAGGGUUGUACCCUAUUUUUCUUCAGCCGUUUGUUUAUUUUUCUAUAGAUUAGUACCACCUCGCUUAUAUGUUUUAAAUUCAAACUGAAAGCGUAAAAUCACGGAAAAAAGCGUAUUGUGACGGUGAACCCGACAAAGUCAAUCCGUGUUUUAUUAUUACUAGCACAAAUGCCCGUGCGUUGCACCGGGCUGAAAAAUGGGAUAACCUGCUUCAUGUGCCAUUGUGCAUCAUUUUUAUAUCUAUUUUUAAUAAAUGUUGAUAAUAUGGUUAAACGUAGGAAUUUUCUUAUUUUUAAUAAAAGUUAACAUUUUAGCAAAAGAGCCCGUGAGUUGCAACGGUAUGAAAUAAGUUCCAGGGUUUGCGUGAUAUUCGAGAGUUUAACUAUCAUGGUGAAAUACUGAGCUCUAUCUCUCAAUAUGUUAGAUUCUUCCUCGCACUUUCAGUAUUAAAAAACUAAAGCAGAAUAUGAAAGCUAGCGAAUCUCAGUUCCUAACACAAACAUCCAGCGGUAUGCAAAAAAAAACAAACAGAAGUAAUAUGACAUAACCAACAGUGCGCAAAGAGAUAUACUACAGAUAUGAUGUUCGUCAGUCAAGUAGGAAUAGUACUUGCCUGAAUAUAAGAGGAUUCUCAUUGUGGUCGUUUCCUCCUGUGACCAACUGAUGGGCUAUCUCAUCUGUAUCAUCCCAAACAAGAGGAACUGAGGAAGAAACUUCUUGUUGAUGUUGUUCAAUCCAUCAAAAAAGAACCGAUGUUGUUCAACCUUUACGGUUGUAACUUGUAAGUUCAUAUAUGAUCAAAACUAAAAUGCAGCCCCAGCCCAUGGGGCACCUGGAGUGCAGGGGAAGUGGCGGACGCGGGAGCUGUAAUCUGUCAGGUGAUUAUAAGCGUUUUCCAUGUCUUGUUGGUUUCCUGCUCCAUCAGAAAUACGGUUACAAUUACUGCAGAAAUGAGGAAAAGGCAGAAGCAUGUAGUCGAUACACAUUAACACAUGCAAGUGUAGCAUGUGAAAUACCACUACAGCUUACCUCGCCGGACUGAACUAUGAUCUAGAGACCUUGACAGAAGUGCUCGGAUUCUAAUUAAGAUCUCCAGCUAUUGACUAAUUCAAUCGAUUCAAGUUGUGUGUAUUGUACAAAUUGCAGCUAAUAUGUGAGCAAAGGUUGUCACCAAUCAAAGUCCGUGUCCUUAUGUAAACAGAUCCUUGUAAAUGUGUGAACAAACUGAUGAGAGGUAAAAAGGAACGGUGUCUUAAAAAAUUGGAAACCAAGUUCUUAGCCCCAUUCCCCUUUAUCUGGUUUUUACCUUGCUUCUGCUAAUAAAAAGAUUGUUUUCACGUAAACAAUUCAAAUGCACACUCUGAUCUUUUCCUAAACCAUCUCGUAAUGGCAAAAGAAUUGCAUUCAGAGAAAUCGCAUUUACCUCAGCACAGCACCCUGCUCAAAUAGUCAUCUCCAUCAAUGUAGACCAACCAUCGUGCAAGGCACCUAUAAUUUACUUUUUUUUUUUUGAAACGUCACCGGGGGGGCAGAGAAAGACUGCCCACCUGAUAAUUUACUUUGUUAUCAUCACAACAUGGAAAAUCUGACCUGCAAAGAACAUUAUACUUGCAUAAUCUAAUCACCAUAAGUAGAACAAUAUUCUUCCGCGAUCUCAGCAUAAAUUCAAUUGCACAUAAUCAGAACCGACGCAUCACAGGAUAGAUCAAACAAUUCCAUGGUAAAGUUAUUUGGAGCGAGUGUUUUUUCAGCGGAAUACGUGUUUCAUUUGGAUUGGAAUUUUGAGAUGCCUGCACGUUGUACUAUUUUCUGAUGUAUUAUAUCAUAUUCUUAGAAGCUAAAUGCAGUUUGAAUAUAAGACAAACACCAUGAAGCUACCUAUCAUUGUGCUUUGCUUUCUCUACCUGCAGCUUUGUUUUCACCUCGGAUCCGUAAGGAGUGGAGACAGAUAAUUGUAGAGGAAAAAGAUUUUCAGACACACUUGGCUUAUCACCACACAAUCCAUCGAAGUAUUAGCACAAAAUGUGGAACUACAAAUCACCAUCUCCACUCCACAAGUAGUUCAAAAUCUCUCGGGACUUUAAACCUGACACAACAUAUGCUAAUAUACCAAUACAUGUAUCAGUUGUAAUUUUAGCUAGCUAGGAGCAGAGGUAAUUAGGAAGCAAAGCUUGUUAUUGUUGUACCUGGAACUAAGGCCAGAUGAGAACCACCACAGCAGAUAUUCCACAUCCAUUGCUCCCCACGCUGAUGGUGGCCGUCUUGUCCACUGACAUCGCGCGUGAGACGUCGCUCCAAUGUGUCCGAGAGGAGGGGCGGCUUGC